Molecule: long non-coding RNA, 895 nt
Organism: Arabidopsis thaliana (thale cress)
Lineage: Eukaryota; Viridiplantae; Streptophyta; Magnoliopsida; Brassicales; Brassicaceae
Product: other RNA
Exons: 1
Source: RefSeq
AAUUGUUCUGAUUUGCUUCCGCAAUGCAAUUUUGCUGGUUUGGUACAGUUUCUGAAAUCUCUCUCUAAGCAUAUAGCUUCUAGAUAUCUUUGCGUCGAUGAUGCUGUUGUGUCAUUUGGAGUUUUUUCGGACUGUGAGUGUGCCUGUAGACAGAUGGUGAUUUGGUUAGAAAACGUUCAACAGAAUCUUGAACUUUGGUGCUCACGUUGUUGACUUUGGUGCUUUACUUAUAGUAACCAUGGUUUGGUAUGUGGUUUACUAUGGUCGGAUCCUACUGGAGACGUCAAAGCCUGGGGCAUGAAUGAUUGUGGUGAAUCAUAGACUUUUGGAGCUGACAAAGUCGCAGAGUUUUUUGAAAAAAAUGAUAUGGACCUUAUCUGCCGUGCCCACCAGGAUUUAACUUGAGUUAUAUUUGUCAUUGAGUUUAUUCUGAAAACUGUUCAACCUUAAGGUGAGUAUCUUGACUAUCUAUAUUUAGACCAUCAUUAUUGGUGAUUAUAUUGAUUUUUAUGUUAAGAAUGACUCUUAUAUAAGAGCCAAAACUAUCCCUAAGAGAUGGACGUGUGUCAAUUUUUAAGUGGGUGAACUAUUUAUCAGAAGAAAAAAAUAAACUUUCGUGUUCUCUUCUCACUUCCUCUCAAACUUUUUGUCGACUUUCUCUCUUUCUAUCAACGAGAGCCGAUGGCGAUACCAUCGUCAAGUAAAGUACAAAGCUUUUCGAUCUUAUUCGUAUCCUUUACCGGCGAGGAUUGUCUUUUUCUCUUCCUGAAUUACACUCUCUUUUUUUAAAGGAUCCAUCUUUGAUUUGGGUUUCGUUUUUUCUUUUCUUUUUUGGUUUUAAGAUUCGAACAACAUUCAAUAGAAAGAACUUGUUGUCACCCCCAUCGAGUUGUUU